This 204-nucleotide RNase P RNA is filed under the name Mesorhizobium sp. RNAcentral's name for it is "partial RNase P RNA component class A". It matches the Rfam family "Bacterial RNase P class A", at positions 194 to 367 of the family's 367-position model. Rfam says of the family: Ribonuclease P (RNase P) is a ubiquitous endoribonuclease, found in archaea, bacteria and eukarya as well as chloroplasts and mitochondria. Its best characterised activity is the generation of mature 5'-ends of tRNAs by cleaving the 5'-leader elements of precursor-tRNAs. The record is from RNAcentral. Lineage: Bacteria; Pseudomonadati; Pseudomonadota; Alphaproteobacteria; Hyphomicrobiales; Phyllobacteriaceae.
AGAAGCGGCACGGCAAACCCCACCGGGAGCAAGACCGAAUAGGGGCGGUGCGAAGGGAAACCUUCGAGGGCUGUUUCCGGCCCACCGCCCGGGUAGGUUGCGUGAGGCGCAUGGCGACAUGCGCCCAAGAUGAAUGGCCGCCACGUUCCCGCGCCGCAAGGCGUGGGGGCCAUACAGAACCCGGCUUACAGGCCAGCUGGCAUU